Rhinolophus ferrumequinum (greater horseshoe bat) is the source of this 427-nucleotide long non-coding RNA. RefSeq lists it as uncharacterized. The record is from RefSeq and is a predicted model, not a curated record. The transcript has 4 exons. Lineage: Eukaryota; Metazoa; Chordata; Mammalia; Chiroptera; Rhinolophidae.
UACUUUAAAGGUCGACUCAUAGUUAGGAGAAUGGGUUCUACCUGAGUUUAAAUAACUCUGGGGAUUACAUGACUGCCCUGGGAUCCUGCAACAGGACCCGGAUCCAGGAUGCCAGGCAGUGUUUCCUCAGGAGGUGUGCAGCUGAUACGGCGGCAGUGGCAGAGGUUUUCUAGGAACUAGAAGAAAGGAGCAGCCAUCGAAAACUGGAAAGAAAAAGUGCGAGGAGCAAGAAGAGGUUGUGAUGAGAGGGAGGAGGAGAAAGGAAUGCUAAGUUGUACUAAAGAACAAGAAGAAAAUGAAGGGAGGAAACAAAAGCAAGACACUAUUUUUGGCCAUUCUGAAAUUCUGCUGUGCUGGAGGCAUCUGCAAUAAUAAACACAUUCAUCUCUUUUCCAGGCCAAAUUUGGAUUUCGCCUGUCUUCACUCU